RNAcentral lists this ribosomal RNA (386 nucleotides) under uncultured prokaryote. RNAcentral describes it as "bacterial SSU rRNA". It matches the Rfam family "Archaeal small subunit ribosomal RNA", at positions 339 to 725 of the family's 1478-position model. The record is from RNAcentral.
GCGCGAAAACUUUACAAUGCUGGCAACAGCGAUAAGGGAACCUCGAGUGCCCGGUUACAAAUCUGGCUGUCGAGAUGCCUAAAAAGCAUUUCAUAGCAAGGGCCGGGCAAGACCGGUGCCAGCCGCCGCGGUAACACCGGCGGCCCGAGUGGUAACCGUUCUUAUUGGGUCUAAAGGGUCUGUAGCCGGCCGGAUAAGUCUCUUGAGAAAUCUGGCAGCUUAACUGUCAGGCUUUCAGGAGAUACUGUCUGGCGCGAGGCCGGGAGAGGUGAGAGGUACUUCAGGGGUAGGGGUGAAAUCUUGUAAUCCUUGAAGGACCACCAGUGGCGAAGGCGUCUCACCAGAACGGACCUGACGGCAAGGGACGAAAGCUAGGGGCACGAACC